CCAACGUUGGUCAUCUCGCGGUGUCUGCCACCGUGAGCUCUGUCCUUGUGGUAAUGGAGCCGAGUUUAUUGUGAGGUGCUGUCCGGCCACAACGUUGGAGAGUAGCUCUGAGUGUCUCCACACCGCGAUGGUGACACUGCAGACCACUGCAUAUUCCUUGAGCUUCCCGUAGCUCCUAGUGGGCCAUGACUGUGGGAGAUAAACCAUGUAGGGGACAGUA
Small nucleolar RNA from Halichondria panicea, 220 nucleotides. RefSeq annotates it as small nucleolar RNA SNORA73 family. The record is from RefSeq and is a predicted model, not a curated record. NCBI's taxonomy places the organism in Eukaryota, Metazoa, Porifera, Demospongiae, Suberitida, Halichondriidae. The transcript has a single exon.